ACGUUCCUUUGACCAGGGGCGUUGGACUGGGGGGGUAAAGGGUACCGAGUACCCAGGGCCCGAGGCGGGGGGCCUUAGAAGUCAGUUUUCUAUACAUACAUGUACAUGCACUAACAUUUAUAUAGCAUUUAUGUACAAAUGAAAAACUAAACUUGUAGUUAACUGUUAGGCACUGGUUUGGUAUAAAAAAAGUCAUUUUCAUGCUGUGCAGGGCCCCACCACCCCUCUCGAAUCAAUGUAAAUGGUACGACCCGCAGGUCAGGUGCUUCUGCUGCGGACCUGCGGUGAAUCAGUUAAUGAGACAGGAGCUGGAGUUAGCCGUGAUAUGAACUAGGAAGACAGGGGAAGAGUCAUGUCUUUCCUUAAGAAAGGAAAAUCAGGGACUCAAAAACAAAAAGAAAAGAAGAUUAAAGAGAGAAAGGCAGAUAAGGGCAAGCAGUUGCUCACUCAGUUUUUUGAAAAGAAAGGUUUUGAAAGCAUGGGCCGACUGCUCCAAAGCAACUUGGUAGCCUACAUCUUAUCUGGACCCUACAUACUACAGAACAUACAACAUACUAAGUGUGAUAAAGACUUAACAGUGUAACAGGUGUUGAAUUAAAAGAAUGGCUAAACUAUC
Long non-coding RNA from Megalobrama amblycephala (Wuchang bream), 616 nucleotides. RefSeq lists it as uncharacterized. The transcript has 2 exons. NCBI's taxonomy places the organism in Eukaryota, Metazoa, Chordata, Actinopteri, Cypriniformes, Xenocyprididae. The record is from RefSeq and is a predicted model, not a curated record.